This 341-nucleotide unclassified non-coding RNA is filed under the name soil metagenome. RNAcentral's name for it is "partial contains 5.8S ribosomal RNA, internal transcribed spacer 2, and large subunit ribosomal RNA". The stretch from base 1 to 120 matches the Rfam family "5.8S ribosomal RNA", at positions 35 to 154 of the family's 154-position model. The record is from RNAcentral.
GAUGAAGAACGUAGCGAAAUGCGAUAAGUAGUGUGAAUUGCAGAAUUCAGUGAAUCAUCGAAUCUUUGAACGCACAUUGCGCCCCUUGGUAUUCCAUGGGGCAUGCCUGUUCGAGCGUCAUUUGUACCCUCAAGCUAUGCUUGGUGUUGGGUGUUUGUCCUCUCCUUUUGCGAUUGCACUCGCCUUAAAGACAUUGGCAGCCAGUGUAUUGGUCUUGAAGCGCAGCACAUUUUGCGAUUCUUGCUGAUAAUCACUAGCGUCCAGUAAGCCUAUUUUAACACUUUUGACCUCGGAUCAGGUAGGGAUACCCGCUGAACUUAAGCAUAUCAAUAAGCGGAGGA